Molecule: ribosomal RNA, 467 nt
Filed under: Streptococcus mitis
Lineage: Bacteria; Bacillati; Bacillota; Bacilli; Lactobacillales; Streptococcaceae
Description: bacterial SSU rRNA
Rfam family: Bacterial small subunit ribosomal RNA
Source: RNAcentral
GACGAACGCUGGCGGCGUGCCUAAUACAUGCAAGUAGAACGCUGAAGAGAGGAGCUUGCUCUUCUUGGAUGAGUUGCGAACGGGUGAGUAACGCGUAGGUAACCUGCCUGGUAGCGGGGGAUAACUAUUGGAAACGAUAGCUAAUACCGCAUAAUAGCAGUUGUUGCAUGAUAACUGUUUGAAAGGUGCAAUUGCACCACUACCAGAUGGACCUGCGUUGUAUUAGCUAGUUGGUGGGGUAACGGCUCACCAAGGCGACGAUACAUAGCCGACCUGAGAGGGUGAUCGGCCACACUGGGACUGAGACACGGCCCAGACUCCUACGGGAGGCAGCAGUAGGGAAUCUUCGGCAAUGGACGGAAGUCUGACCGAGCAACGCCGCGUGAGUGAAGAAGGUUUUCGGAUCGUAAAGCUCUGUUGUAAGAGAAGAACGAGUGUGAGAGUGGAAAAGUUCACACUGUGACGGU